GCGCUCUGGACUCCUCGCUUUUACUACAUUAUCGUACUUCAAGUGACCAGAUCCAGGUACAUGUUCAGAAACUACGCCAGCGACCCUUUUAGCAUGAUGAUACGAUUCACUUCAACCUGUACCCCCGGACUGUACAUCUGGGGGAGCCCCGCUCUCAGGGAGGCUGUGCUGAAGACAGUGUGGGGCAGAGUCUGUCCCCCACUGAGAAACAAGAGGAUCUCCUCAAGCUCUUAAAGGGAACAGCAACAGCAACAGCAACAGCAACAGUACAGAAGAGCUUCUGAAUGUAGUGCACUAGAAGUCAGGAGAUCAGAACUUAGCACAUUCGGAGUGGACAGACCACACCUGGUCAUUUUCGCCAACAGGAAGAACUGUUUUUUCUUCCCUCUACCAGGCGUAAAUAUGAGAAUUAAGUAGUUAAAAUAUUAUAAUAUUGAAGGAGGUGAUUGUUCAUAUUGAAGCACUUCUUUG
Molecule: long non-coding RNA, 471 nt
Filed under: Lepisosteus oculatus (spotted gar)
Lineage: Eukaryota; Metazoa; Chordata; Actinopteri; Semionotiformes; Lepisosteidae
Description: lncRNA (ENSLOCG00000022521.1)
Source: RNAcentral